CGCUGCCUCGUGCCUGUACACCGAACGCUCGACUGCGAUCUGCGUCGGUCUCCUGGGUGGUAUGGUUCCCCAGAGGCCGGUUCUUGUGCUGCCUACCCCUUCAGGGGAAGCGGGCCGCUUGAUGCAAGCCUCCAUCCCGCGCCCUCCAACGGGCGCAGGAGGACAACGGAGCACCCCCCGCGUUCCACCGAGCCUCCUCGGUCGCGUGGCGAGCGGGGGCGUGCGAUGAUCUCGGACCUAGCGAACACCGUGGGCGAGGACUCUAAUGCCAGUCCCGAUAAAAGCUCCCACAUAAUGCACGGCGGUGCGGGGCGAGGCGCGGCGUCGCGGAGGAGUGCUACCUGGUUGAUCCUGCGCAGUAGUCAUAUGCUACA
This 374-nucleotide unclassified non-coding RNA is filed under the name Acacia concurrens. RNAcentral describes it as "partial external transcribed spacer". The record is from RNAcentral. Lineage: Eukaryota; Viridiplantae; Streptophyta; Magnoliopsida; Fabales; Fabaceae.